AAGUCGUAACAAGGUCUCCGUUGGUGAACCAGCGGAGGGAUCAUUACAGAGUUCUCGCAACUCCCAAACCCCUCGGAAAUAUACCGUACGUUGCCUCGGCGGGCUCACCCCCCGCCGGCGGCCUAUCAAGCUCUGUUUUCUCAGUCGAGUUGAAUUCUGAACUUCAUAACGAAAUACGUUAAAACUUUCAACAACGGAUCUCUUGGUUCUG
This 211-nucleotide unclassified non-coding RNA is filed under the name air metagenome. RNAcentral's name for it is "partial contains small subunit ribosomal RNA, internal transcribed spacer 1, and 5.8S ribosomal RNA". The stretch from base 1 to 46 matches the Rfam family "Eukaryotic small subunit ribosomal RNA", at positions 1786 to 1831 of the family's 1831-position model. The record is from RNAcentral.